GCAGUGAUAGUUCAGCGGUAGAAUUCUUGCCUUUUGUGCAAGACUCGGGUUCGAUUCCUAGCCAAUGUA
This 69-nucleotide transfer RNA is filed under the name Loxodonta africana (African savanna elephant). It matches the Rfam family "tRNA". Rfam says of the family: Transfer RNA (tRNA) molecules are approximately 80 nucleotides in length. Their secondary structure includes four short double-helical elements and three loops (D, anti-codon, and T loops). Further hydrogen bonds mediate the characteristic L-shaped molecular structure. tRNAs have two regions of fundamental functional importance: the anti-codon, which is responsible for specific mRNA codon recognition, and the 3' end, to which the tRNAs corresponding amino acid is attached (by aminoacyl-tRNA synthetases). tRNAs cope with the degeneracy of the genetic code in two manners: having more than one tRNA (with a specific anti-codon) for a particular amino acid; and 'wobble' base-pairing, i.e. permitting non-standard base-pairing at the 3rd anti-codon position. The record is from Rfam by way of RNAcentral. Lineage: Eukaryota; Metazoa; Chordata; Mammalia; Proboscidea; Elephantidae.